This 429-nucleotide ribosomal RNA is filed under the name uncultured bacterium. RNAcentral's name for it is "bacterial SSU rRNA". It matches the Rfam family "Bacterial small subunit ribosomal RNA", at positions 355 to 776 of the family's 1533-position model. The record is from RNAcentral.
UGGGGAAUUUUGCGCAAUGGACGAAAGUCUGACGCAGCGACGCCGCGUGUGCGAUGAAGGCCUUUGGGUCGUAAAGCACUGUCGACCGGGACGAAAACUCAGUGACUAAUACUCAUUGAGUCUGACGGUACUGGUAAAGGAAGCACCGGCUAACUCUGUGCCAGCAGCCGCGGUAAUACAGAGGGUGCAAACGUUGCUCGGAAUUAUUGGGCGUAAAGCGCGUGUAGGCGGCUUGUUAAGUCGGUUGUGAAAACCCAUGGCUCAACCAUGGAAGGGCGUCCGAAACUGGCAAGCUAGAGUCCCGACGAGGAUGGCGGAAUUCCCAGUGUAGAGGUGAAAUUCGUAGAUAUUGGGAGGAACACCGGUGGCGAAGGCGGCCAUCUGGGAGGGCACUGACGCUGAGACGCGAAAGCGUGGGGAGCAAACAGG